GGAGCCGUGCCCUGAGCAGGCCAGGAAGGAGGAGACAGGGCCGCUGAAUGCACACCGCAGCGGUGUGGGGAGCGGCCUCAGACACCUAAGGAGUUUGACUCUUCCACAAUAAUUUGGCACCCAGCGUGGGGCCUCAGAGAAGACUCAGGACCCCAAAGGAGUUGCCUGAACUCGGAGCGAAGAUACCAGUGGGGCCCAUUGAAGCCUCCCAGACUUCUAGCUUCUCCCCCGAUGGAACUGGUUAAGUUCUCCUGAGCCCCAGAUCGCCCUUUGGUUGACAGUCCUUCGUUUAGUGUGAGCUGGUUUUUCUCCUAGGAAGUUGUUGUUUAAGGAUUCUAAUUCUAGUUCAGAGACACAUUCUAAAGGGUUUUCUUUAUUGCUUUUUCUCCCAAAAUUAAUCUUGAUUCGGCUUGUCUGCGCAUUUGUGUGAGGAAUUGAACUGUUGUUUUCAUAGGUAAAUGAGAGACUGAGUUUUCUCAACUCCAAAGAGAAAGGCAUUUGCUCCUCCCAGCCAAAACGUGCUCCUGGGUGACUGGGGGCCUUGUGGGAGUGUCUGGGGGGGGGUUGACAUCCUGUGACAUGCAGCAGCCCUAUGGGGAAAUCCCCAACAAAAAUUAAUUUUAAAAAUGGCUUGUCCAGGAAUGCAUAUAAGGACUGAUC
Molecule: long non-coding RNA, 660 nt
Organism: Homo sapiens (human)
Lineage: Eukaryota; Metazoa; Chordata; Mammalia; Primates; Hominidae
Gene: SLC41A3-AS1
Product: SLC41A3 antisense RNA 1
Source: Ensembl